UACGGGGGGGGCAAGCGUUGUUCGGAAUUACUGGGCGUAAAGGGCUCGUAGGCGGCCAACUAAGUCGGAUGUGAAAUCCCCAAGCUUAACUUGGGAACUGCAUCCGAUACUGGAUGGCUUGAAUCCGGGAGAGGGAUGCAGAAUUCCAGGUGUAGCGGUGAAAUGCGUAGAUAUCUGGAGGAAUACAGGUGGCGAAGGCGGCAUCCUGGACCGGCAUUGACGCUGAGGAGCGAAAGCUAGGGGAGCAAACGGG
RNAcentral lists this ribosomal RNA (253 nucleotides) under uncultured bacterium. RNAcentral's name for it is "partial 16S ribosomal RNA". It matches the Rfam family "Bacterial small subunit ribosomal RNA", at positions 524 to 776 of the family's 1533-position model. The record is from RNAcentral.